UUGUAGGUUGGGACUUCUUCAAGUCUCCUCAGAACCUCUGUGCCUUCAACCACUUGACUACAAAACAAAGAAUAUGAAAACAGCUGAAUACCAGGCCUAUAGGGGUGACUUUCGGAUAGAGGACCUGGUAGACCGUACCUCCCCCCUGUAUCCAGCCGUUGGGCACCACACGAUGGAACACAGAACCCUUGUAGGACAGCAUUAAGUCACUCUGUGACAGGCCUGCCUCCCCUGUACACAGAGCCUGGAAGUUUUUACACGUCUUCGGACACAGCUCUGUAAACAGCUGGGGAGACAGAAGACCUACGCCGUCAAUACAACUCUGGACCAACUUCUUUGUCAUUUGUAACCAUUGAUCUGAAUGGGUAGUCUCACCUCAAACAGUAAUCUCCCAACCGAUUCCCCUCGGAUCGAAAUGUCCAUGUAAACAAACGUGUGCUGUGGUGGAAGCGAGAGAGGAUGUCAUGUUGUAGGUAUGAUGUCACUGUUAUAAAGUACUUUAGGGCCA
Salvelinus fontinalis (brook trout) is the source of this 508-nucleotide long non-coding RNA. RefSeq lists it as uncharacterized. Lineage: Eukaryota; Metazoa; Chordata; Actinopteri; Salmoniformes; Salmonidae. The transcript has 2 exons. The record is from RefSeq and is a predicted model, not a curated record.